RNAcentral lists this ribosomal RNA (424 nucleotides) under uncultured bacterium. RNAcentral's name for it is "bacterial SSU rRNA". It matches the Rfam family "Bacterial small subunit ribosomal RNA", at positions 356 to 773 of the family's 1533-position model. The record is from RNAcentral.
AGGGAAUCUUCCGCAAUAGACGAAAGUCUGACGGAGCAACGCCGCGUGAGUGAUGAAGGUUUUCGGAUCGUAAAGCUCUGUUGCCAGGGAAGAACGUCUUGGAGAGUAACUGCUCUAAGAGUGACGGUACCUGAGAAGAAAGCCCCGGCUAACUACGUGCCAGCAGCCGCGGUAAUACGUAGGGGGCGAGCGUUGUCCGGAAUUAUUGGGCGUAAAGCGCGCGCAGGCGGCUGUUUAAGUCUGGUGUUUAAUCCUGGGGCCCAACCCCGGGUCGCACUGGAAACUGGGCAGCUUGAGUGCAGAAGAGGAGAGUGGAAUUCCACGUGUAGCGGUGAAAUGCGUAGAGAUGUGGAGGAACACCAGUGGCGAAGGCGACUCUCUGGGCUGUAACUGACGCUGAGGCGCGAAAGCGUGGGGAGCAAAC